GAUGAACGCUGGCGGCGUGCCUAAUACAUGCAAGUCGAGCGAACAGACGAGGAGCUUGCUCCUCUGACGUUAGCGGCGGACGGGUGAGUAACACGUGGAUAACCUACCUAUAAGACUGGGAUAACUUCGGGAAACCGGAGCUAAUACCGGAUAAUAUAUUGAACCGCAUGGUUCAAUAGUGAAAGACGGUUUUGCUGUCACUUAUAGAUGGAUCCGCGCCGCAUUAGCUAGUUGGUAAGGUAACGGCUUACCAAGGCAACGAUGCGUAGCCGACCUGAGAGGGUGAUCGGCCACACUGGAACUGAGACACGGUCCAGACUCCUACGGGAGGCAGCAGUAGGGAAUCUUCCGCAAUGGGCGAAAGCCUGACGGAGCAACGCCACGUGAGUGAUGAAGGUCUUCGGAUCGUAAAACUCUGUUAUUAGGGAAGAACAAAUGUGUAAGUAACGAUGCACGUCUUGACGGUACCUAAUCAGAAAGCCACGGCUAACUACGU
Molecule: ribosomal RNA, 496 nt
Filed under: uncultured bacterium
Lineage: Bacteria
Description: partial 16S ribosomal RNA
Rfam family: Bacterial small subunit ribosomal RNA
Source: RNAcentral